GCCGAGCCAUCAGUGGCACAGCAGCAUGGACUCAGCUAAGUGCUGCUCAUCUCGUCUCUGAUGUUCUCAUCACAUCUAAUGCAUCAAACCAUCAUUCUCAAGGGUGAAAAUGAUGCCUGUUUGGGAGUUGACACCCACAGCUGUCACAACCAUUUUCCCUGAGCCCUCCAUGACAUGGGUGCCUGGAAGAGACAAAUCAGCUAAAGUCAGACACACUGGAUGCAAAAUUGUUCCAAACGUAGAAGAACUGAGACGAUGAUCAUUUCCUCCUCAGACUCAGGCUAAGAGAGCUUUCAUCGAUCUUCAGAUCGUUGCCCUGGAUUAGCACUCCGUCCGCAGGAAGCAGGUCACCUGGAAACAAGCACCAGACAGGAGACACAGCCACUAGGAUCUGGAUGACCUGUCCUCCCCGGACGACCGUGAAGCGCUGUUCCUGCUCGAUGCGGCUCUGGAGGCCGCGA
Molecule: long non-coding RNA, 461 nt
Organism: Alosa alosa (allis shad)
Lineage: Eukaryota; Metazoa; Chordata; Actinopteri; Clupeiformes; Clupeidae
Exons: 4
Source: RefSeq, a predicted model, not a curated record